UGAGGAAUAUUGGUCAAUGGGCGAGAGCCUGAACCAGCCAAGUAGCGUGAAGGAUGACUGCCCUAUGGGUUGUAAACUUCUUUUAUAAAGGAAUAAAGUCGGGUAUGCAUACCCGUUUGCAUGUACUUUAUGAAUAAGGAUCGGCUAACUCCGUGCCAGCAGCCGCGGUAAUACGGAGGAUCCGAGCGUUAUCCGGAUUUAUUGGGUUUAAAGGGAGCGUAGAUGGAUGUUUAAGUCAGUUGUGAAAGUUUGCGGCUCAACCGUAAAAUUGCAGUUGAUACUGGAUAUCUUGAGUGCAGUUGAGGCAGGCGGAAUUCGUGGUGUAGCGGUGAAAUGCUUAGAUAUCACGAAGAACUCCGAUUGCGAAGGCAGCCUGCUAAGCUGCAACUGACAUUGAGGCUCGAAAGUGUGGGUAUCAAACAGGAUUAGAUACCCUGGUAGUCCACACGGUAAACGAUGAAUACUCGCUGUUUGCGAUAUACGGCAAGCGGCCAAGCGAAAGCGUUAAGUAUUCCACCUGGGGAGUACGCCGGCAACGGUGAAACUCAAAGGAAUUGACGGGGGCCCGCACAAGCGGAGGAACAUGUGGUUUAAUUCGAUGAUACGCGAGGAACCUUACCCGGGCUUAAAUUGCAGAUGAAUUACGGUGAAAGCCGUAAGCCGCAAGGCAUCUGUGAAGGUGCUGCAUGGUUGUCGUCAGCUCGUGCCGUGAGGUGUCGGCUUAAGUGCCAUAACGAGCGCAACCCUUGUUGUCAGUUACUAACAGGUUCUGCUGAGGACUCUGACAAGACUGCCAUCGUAAGAUGUGAGGAAGGUGGGGAUGACGUCAAAUCAGCACGGCCCUUACGUCCGGGGCUACACACGUGUUACAAUGGGGGGUACAGAGGGCCGCUACCACGCGAGUGGAUGCCAAUCCCAAAAACCUCUCUCAGUUCGGACUGGAGUCUGCAACCCGACUCCACGAAGCUGGAUUCGCUAGUAAUCGCGCAUCAGCCACGGCGCGGUGAAUACGUUCCC
RNAcentral lists this ribosomal RNA (1017 nucleotides) under uncultured bacterium. RNAcentral's name for it is "bacterial SSU rRNA". It matches the Rfam family "Bacterial small subunit ribosomal RNA", at positions 355 to 1375 of the family's 1533-position model. The record is from RNAcentral.